UCCUACGGGAGGCAGCAGUGGGGAAUUUUGCGCAAUGGGCGAAAGCCUGACGCAGCGACGCCGCGUGGAGGAUGAAGGUCUUCGGAUUGUAAACUCCUUUUGCAGGGGAAGAUAAUGACGGUACCCUGCGAAUAAGCCACGGCUAACUCUGUGCCAGCAGCCGCGGUAAUA
This 171-nucleotide ribosomal RNA is filed under the name uncultured bacterium. RNAcentral describes it as "partial 16S ribosomal RNA". It matches the Rfam family "Bacterial small subunit ribosomal RNA", at positions 337 to 525 of the family's 1533-position model. The record is from RNAcentral.